This 37072-nucleotide long non-coding RNA is filed under the name Malus domestica (apple). Its description in RNAcentral is "long non-coding RNA (MDOM_LNC018681)". Lineage: Eukaryota; Viridiplantae; Streptophyta; Magnoliopsida; Rosales; Rosaceae. The record is from RNAcentral.
GUGAGUUUGUCUUGAGCAAAGAUGUCGGGGGAAACAUUGAUGAGUUAAAGGGGUUUCAGCAUUUGAGUGGAAAUCUUCAUAUUUCAGGGCUUCAAAAUAUCACACGUGCUGAGGAUGCUUUGGAGGCCAAACUGAGGGACAAGAAGCUCAGUGAAAUACGUUUGAAAUGGGAAGGUGACACUAUUGAUUCUGAAAACGAUAGCCGAGUGCUAGGCAACUUGCAACCCAAUACAAACCUAAAAGUAUUGGCUAUACAAGGAUACGGAGGUACGAAGUUUCCAGGUUGGUUGGGAGAUGAGUCUUUCUCUAAUCUUGUCACUCUCCGACUUGAGACUUGUGGAUAUUGUUUCUCCCUGCCAGCAUUGGGGCAGCUACCGUCUCUCAAAAGGCUUGAAAUUGAUGGGUUGAAUGGAGUGGAAUCAGUGGGGUCUGAGUUUUAUGGGGGAAUUAAACCUGCAUUUAAAUCUCUGGAGUUUCUGAGUUUCUGCAGUAUGCGGGAAUGGCAAGAGUGGUGUUUCCCUGGAGGCGGACAUUUUCUAAUCUUUGCGAGCUUAGUCUGGGGAAUUGUCCCAAACUAACGGGGAAAAUACCGUUAGACUACUUCCCAAGACUUGAGCGGCUAAGUUUGCAGAACGUUAAAAUCGUAUAUUUUGUGGGUGGUGGAGUGUUGCUUGCGCCCAACUUGUGGUCAGUGCCAGAAGAUCUGCAAAUCUCGCUCCCAUCUCUUCAGUCUCUGUCCAUAGAAGGGUGUAAAGAAUUUAAAUCAUUUCCGGAAGAAUCUAAAUUCCCAUCCCUAAAAAAUUUGAAGAUAAAGGAGUGCCCAGAAUUUGUUGGUUUCCCCCAUGGGGGAGGACUGCAAGCGCCCAACUUGAAGACGAUGCAAAUCAAAGAAUGUAACAAAUUCAGGUCACUGCCAGAGGAGAUGCACGCUUCUCUCCCGUCCCUUCAGUGUCUGUCCAUAGAAGGGUGUAAAGAAUUUGUGGGUUUCCCCCAUGGAGGAGGACUGCAAGCGCCCAACUUGAAGAUGAUGCAAAUCAACGAAUGUAACAAAUUCAGGUCACUGCCAGAGGAGAUGCAAAUCUCUCUCCCGUCUCUCUCGUCUUUGUAUAUAUGGGAUUCUCCAGAAUUGGAAUCAUUUCCGGAAGGGGGAUUGCCGUCCAAAUUGCGUUACCUCAUUAUCUGGUGUUGUAAAAAACUGAUGGCAAACCGUAUGCGGUGGGGUCUACAAACACUCACCUCUCUCAAAUUCUUGGAUGUCAGCUUCUCAGGAUGUGAAGAAGAAGAAAUUGUCGAAUCAUUUCCAGAAGAGGGGCUGCUGCCAAUCACUCUCACUUCUCUCGGAAUCUCCCAUCAUCCGAAUCUGAAAACCAUUGACGGCAAGGCCUUAAGACACAUCAUCUCUCUCGAGGAGUUGUAUAUUUUUUAUUGUCCUCAACUCCAGAGCUUGCCAGAUGAAGGGCUACCCACUUCUCUUUCUUUUCUACAUAUCACCGGGUCUGAUUUGCUAACACAACGGUGUCAGAGAGACACAGGAGAAGAUUGGCCCAAGAUUUCUCACAUCCCCAACGUAAGGAUUAAUGACCGAAAGAUAUGAUUUGCAAUGGUAAGUAAUUCGUCAACGUUCGUUUGUGUUUAUUUACGAUCUGGCUGUGUAAAUUUUAAAUCAUAAAUAUGUUUCAAAUGUUAAUAUUCACGUAAUAACAAACAAAUUUUGCAGAUACUCCUGUCCCAUAUAAACUUGAAAGUAUUUGUGAUAGAAAGAUACGGAGCUACAAAAAUUCCAAAUCUGUUAGGAGAUGACUCGUUCGUUCUCUCAUCUUGUUACUCUUCGACUUAUGGAUUGUGAAUAUUGUUUUUCAAUGGCAGCAUUGGACAGCUACCAUCUCUCAGAAGGCUUGAAACUGAUGGGUUAAAUGGAGUGGAAUUGUUUCAGUGUUGGUUCUACUCUCCCUCUUUUCUUACUGUGUCUUAUGGUGGUUUCAUUAUACGACAGUUUGUUGUAUCGAACUAGUCCUCGGGGAAAAAGGAGCUUCAACAAGUUUACGAAAUUACGACCUCUAGUUUCCAAAUCUCCUUUUUCAAGUUUUUUUUUUCCAAAUCAUGUCUAUUGAGAGGUAGAUUUUGGUACUUUGUGGAAUUUGAAUUCAAACGCUUGGUUUGUAAAAUAUGGAUGAUGAAUUUCGUUUCUGUGGAACUGUGAAUCAAUGAUCAUGCAUGAAUGUUGUAAGACUAGAGUAUCAAAAACCCUCUGUUUACUAAUCAAUCUCAACCGGACUAAAUUCGACUUAUUUAAUUAGUAUUGCAAGAUGAUAUUAUCUAUUAAUCAUUGUCUAAUCAAUUGAUUGUUUUGUAAACUUUUUAAUGUAAAAGUGCUUAUAGUUUCUUGGGACGAGGAUGGUGAAGAUUAUACGGAGAGGAGGUUGAGAGCUUUCUUCUCCAGGUUUGGCGAGGUUGAAGAAAUGCUCUUUAAGAACAGAGGUCCUGCGGAAAUUGUCAUGGCAACUAAGGAUGCAGCUGUGAAGGGGUUUCAACAUGACUGCGCUGUUCAUGAAAAGUUUGAAGGGAAAAAGCAGCAAUGAUGAACUAGGGUUUCAAAAUUUGCUUGUGUAUGCCAUUACUUUUAGUUUUGGUUUGGUUAAAACGCUACGUACAUUCCCAUCAUCUGAUUUAAUUUACAGUUCCUAACCUCAACUCACGACUAAAACUGGAAUUGCUAAGAAAAACUCGAAAUAUAUUGCAAACCAGAUUCUGUAUGCAAGCAAAAACAUAUUCAAUUAUCAACGAAUGGGGACUCUGCAAGAUCAAUAGCGCGUGCAAGUGCAGCAGCCUUGUUCUUGCACUCCCUCUGCUCAUCAGCUGGAUCACUGUCAGCGACAAUUCCUGCCCCGGCUUGGAGAUGAGCGACCCACUCUCUUUGCUUGUUUGCAUCCUUGUAUGAAUACAUUGUAUCAUACCGAAAGCUAGUUGGGAAAACAAUAGUUCUCAGAGCGAGGGCGAUGUCCAUGUUGCCAGAAAACGAAAUUCCCCAAAGCCACCACUGUAUGGACCACGUCUAGUCACUUCUAGCUUAUCGAUCAGCUCCAUGGCUUUCACCUGCAUUGCAGUAAAUGAGGAAACUCGAAAAUCCUAAGCGAGUCCAUACACAACAUCGUGUUCCAUAUAUCAACCAUUAGUGGUGUAAUAAGCCGAUUCCUAACUGAUUAGGUUAAUCCUCAAGGCUUUUACUCGCAGGAUUAUACAGGUUAAUUAGUCUAGGAUCAAUUUAGCUAACUGUUAAGAAAUAAAACAAGAAUAAAGGUCGUACCCAGUGCACAAGGCUCCCGCUUUACAGGUUAAGAAAUAAAACAAGAAUAAAAAGGUCGUACCCAAGGAUUUAAAUAUCGGUAAUAUCGGAAAUAUCGGUAGUCCGAAAACACGGAAAUAUCGAUGGAAAUAUCGGUAUAAUAUCGAUAUCGAUAAAAAUUACAUGGAAACCACGGAAAUUGUAAGAAAAACUUGGAAAUUUUUAUUGAAACUUUGCAGGAUGUUUAUUUAGUCAAUUAUCUAUUAAUUUAUCACAAAAAAUUGGAAGGAAAUGCAUUGCAUGAUGGAUUUAACAUUAUCAAGUUGAUUAUAUAGCGAGCUGGCAAACAUUGUGAGUGUAGAAAAUAUGUAGUAAUUAAUGAAAGAAGUUUAAACACACCAUAAUCAUUAUAUAUAAUGAAUUAGUACAAUAUUUUACACUUUAUACAUUGCAUGGAAAGAUACAUGAGUGACUUAGUACCACAUAGAGUUCUAAUGAGGUUCAAAAUUUUCACCUUGGUGUUUUUUAAAAUAUAGAAAUUUAUCUUAGAUAAUAAAUAUUAGCUUGCAAACCUUGCAGACAUCUUAAUGACCAUAUAAGGCUGAAUAUGUAAUCACAAACACAUCUGUAACAAGUUGGAUAAAGCCCAGGUACGUGGUUGACAAAGGAAGGGUUCAAAUAUAAUCUGCUUGCUUAGUUAAAAAAAACAAAAUAUUAUCUAAAUAAUUUAUAAUUUAUAUAACAUAUAUAUAUAUAUAUAUAUAUAUAUAAAAUAUAUCCUAAACUUUUAAAAAUAUAAAUGGAUGGCCUUCAUUAUUAAAAGUUAAAACCAUGCACCUCUUUCACGUCACUUGUCUAAAAGUUUUAGACUAAAACCAUCAAAGCCAAUGGUUUUGUUUUUUUUAAGUCUCCCGUCCCACCACCAAGGUUUUCUCUCUCUCUCUCUCCCCGCACUGUCCCCUCCUCCUCCCUCAUCUUCACAGAUCUCUGUUCCUCUCUCUCUCCCCGCACCGUCUCCUCCUCCUCCCUCAUCUUCACAGAUCUCCCCCUUCUCGAUCCUUCUCUCUUCUUCUCUGAGGCCCUCGAUCCUUCUCUCUUAUUCUCUGAGGCCUGACCUCUCUUCUCCCCCUUCUCCAUUCGACCCACACACACACAGAUCUCCCCCUUCUCCCACUCUCUCGAUUCUUCGCCCACUCUCUCGAUCCUUCGCUGCCGUUGAUCGUGGCUCUGGCGAAGUCGGACUUGGCUUAGUCGUCUCUGGUGGUGCGCCGCUGAGCAAGGAGUUGGCCCAGUCAUCGAUUUUUCAGGUGAGAUUCCAUUGAAAACCUAAGUCCUAAACCGACAUCACAUAUGUUGAAUCGUUGAUGCAUGCGUGAAAUUUGAAGCUUAUAUGUGAAAUUGAAGUUAAAAAUCGUGUUUUUGCCAGGUUUUUGGGACGAAAUGGGCUCAGGAAUAGGCACACCAUCUCCGGCGUUCUUCUCCGGCGUUCGAUAUCGGAGGCCGAUUGCACCGUUCAACAAAAUAUCUCGAUAUUUCCAAAAUAUCGCGAUAUUAUCGAUAUUAUCGAUAAUAUAGCGAUAUUUGGACGAAAACCACACGGAUACCUAUUUAAAUAUCCAUUCCCCGAAAAAUCGAUAUUAUCGGCGAUAUUUCGCCUGAUAUUCGCCUGAUAAACCUUCCCGACAUCAUUCCUCCCCAAGUCUACAAGCAUAAUAUGCUCUGCACAUUGCUUUUCAUCAUUCAAAACGUACUGUAUCAUAAGAGAAGUAACCAACCCAGCCGCCUGAUAAAGAGAGUGGAUGUUGUUAACCACCAACUUGUGACUUCGAGAACCUCCAUUUUUAAGAUUGAAUAAUGCAAUAAUACAAGGAUAAAUUUAUGGCAAUUUUGUGCCAAAGAAGUCUUUUGCGAAAGCCCAGAAUAUCACGCAAUACAUAACACUAGUGUCAACACAGUACAUCUACAACCUAACAAAAUGUACAGGAAAAUAUGAGCACACUGAUAACCCACAGUUCUACUUGCCUAGUCCAAAACUUUGAGACUAAGAAGGGAAAAAUAAGCAAAGCAUGGUCUUCAUUUUUAUAAAUAACUUCACCACAACUUUACAAAUCUAAGUUUUGUUAACGAACCACAUUUAAGGAGAACUGGUUUACUUUGAACUGAGAGGAUUAAGAUAUGAGUACUACUAAAGCGUGUUAUUUGUGUACUUAUCAUACCACAAAAUGCUUCUGGAAGUUCAUCAAGAAGUUGGGGUGUCCAUCCCUCCAUGAUUCUCCGAGGAACAGUCAUUGGAUCCUCCACAAACUCCUCUGUCCUACAACCUUCUUUGUGGUCCAUAAUGGUAACCAUGUUCUCCUUAGCCACGAUUUCAAUGGAUGGUUGGGCACCAAUAACACUGUGCCGGCCCUAACAAAUGAUUGACACCAAAAAUUUGUAAGUGAUCAAUUAUGGUCUACAGUCAGAUGCAAACAAAUACAAAUGAUACAAGGGGCUGAGGACGCUUACAACAUUGGAGUCGUUGGAACCCGGCUCAACUGACUCAAACAGAAAACUUGGAGCAUCUCUAUCAUCCUCCUUAACCAGACACCGGUAAGCGAGAACAGGAGUUAGAUGAUCCGAGAAUAUGCUCCGAGACAGAGGAAUUAAAUUCCCCUUCUUCGAGGCUUCUACAAACUUCUCUGAUUCGUCGGCUGCAGUAAAAUCAAUCGUACAAAUCAAAACUCGCAUUAGUAUAACCAAUUCAGUUCCUUACAAACAGACAUUGCCUGACAGAAUCAAAAUUUUUAAUUCUAAAAUUUGGGCAGAUUAUAAUCAUAUAAUGAUCACCACUCUCAUUGUUCGGCUAAUCGAACCGAAAUUAGCAUUUUACAAUGUAAAUCAAAACACAAUUAACUAAAAACCCAGAAAUUCAUUUUCUUUAUUUUCUUCCAGCAAAACAGUCAUAGAUACUCAAAUGUAAAUGGCUAAUACUCAAUUAUCCCCCCAACGUUCUACAUUUUCUCGGAAACCAAACACAUCCCAGAAAGCAAAUGUAGUUGAAUCAACUGCUCCAGAAGUAAAAUUGAAACGAGCAACAAAAAAAAUUACAAAGGUCGGGAAGAAAAAAGACAAUGCGAAGAUGAAAAUUAAAGGAAUCAAGCGAAGGAGGAGGGGUGCCGAUGUGGGUAAUGUACAUAUUGCCUACCCGAAUAAACAUUAGAAGGAGAAGGACCCGCAUAGGGCUCCAUAUGAGCAACCAAAGACGAUUGACUCGUCAUGUGAUGGGUAGCACCAGUGUCGGGAUGCCAAAGUGGAUCAGGCUUCUGUUCAAACUGGGUUGCGGCAAAGGGUGCGGCCUGAUCAGGCCCACAGUACCUGUGCGGGCAGGUCUGGAUAUGCUGGAACGUAUUGCAGUUAUAGCGCCAAGGAGGGCCUAAAAUUGGGCCGAAAAUUGGGCCGAACAGGAACAAAGGGCUGCUCCAGUUUUUGUUGAUGGGGAUGUUGCCAAUGAUGCUGGACUGGGCCCGCAGCAUUAAAGGGCCGACCACCACCACUAGAAUUAAAUUAUGAGUAAUACUAUGUUUCGAAUAAGGAAAUAAACUUGGAAUUUGGAUAAAAAUCAGAAUUUAUAAAUUGACAUGCACCAAUUCCUUUAUUUGGAUUUAUAAACAUAGAAAUUUAGAAUUUCCGCGUGAAAAAAAAACUUGGAAUUUGGGGCCUCCAAUUCCCAAGUUUAAAUUCCAUGUAAAUAAGUGUCAUUUACCAAUUUCUAUGAUUGAGAGUUUAAAAUUAACAAAUUCCAUUCUCAAUUUCAUUGUUCUUUUAGGUUAACCAAAAAAGAAAAAUCACAAAAUCUAGAAAAUAAAAUCCCGUCAUUUCAAUUUUCGUCAUUUUAAAAUUCCUUAGUAAUCUUAAAUUUCUUCAUCCAAACAUAGUGUUAGGCUAUUCAUACCAGGUUUUUGUACCACAUUUUCAUACCAUCUUAGGUGACAUCUGAUGUGGACAGCUACAUCAUUUGAAAAUUUUGCAAAACCCAAAGAAAGAAAGGAGAAAGACUUCUCGUAUACCACAAUCUAUCAUUUAAUUAACUAAAUUUUAUUAAUUAUUAGUUUAUUAAAUAAUGAACUAAAUUUAAAAAUCUAAUUAAUUCAAAUGAUGUGGUUGUUCACAUCAAAUGCCACCUAGAGUGGUAUGAAAAUAUGGUAUGAAUAACAUUACUCUUAAAUUAUUGACAAGCGGAAUCCAAAACGCACCCAAAAAUUAGGUAAAUAUUUUUACUUUAUAAGAACGAGUGGUUAUCAUGUGUUGCAAAUUUGUAAUGCGUUUUUGUGGAGCCAAAAAUAAUCAAGAAUAAUAUAGAGGUGACACGUGGAUUCUAGGAUAAAAUGGACAAAAUUACCUUCGAGGCACACCGGAAUUCCUACGCACGAGCAGUGGACAAUCAUCCCUCAAUAAAGUUAAAAGUGCCCAAAUAGGUAUUUAUUUAUAACAUCCCUCAUCAUAUCUUCUCCACAAUGUAACCCAUAAAUCAUUCAUUUUUUAUUAUAUUAAUUAGCUAAUUAAUUGAUUAAUUAUUAAGUUAAUUUGCUAAUUAAACACAAACCAUGAACUUCACCCACAAAUCCAUCCAAGUGGCCGGUCCAUCUCCUCCCAAGGUGGCCGGCCACACCCCUAUAUAAACACCUUCAUUCUCUCCAAAACUCAAUUCCAAUUCUCUUGCUAAACUCUCUAAAUUCUCUAAAUUCUCUAAACACUUUUCCCUCAAAAUUCUAACUUUGGCAUCGAAGGUUCUUCGGCCAAAGCCCCCCCCAAAUCAUCAUGAGCGCGUGAGGUUUUUGGCCUUGACCUAAGGUGUUAUUUGUUUUGUAGGUGCAAUUUUGUCCAAGAGUAAGGAAGAAGAAAUUUGCAUCCACAAAUUGAUGCUUUCAUUGAGAGUUGAGUCACACGCUCAUAGAAGACUCUCGCAUCUAAGGUUUUUCGUUUCCUUGCUUAUUUGUGGAUUUUUCGAACGUUCUUAUUCUAUGAAUUUUUAUUUCUAAAAAUCCUUUGAUAAAACGUAAAAGAAAAGUACAAUAGCAAGAGAUUCUAAAAAUCCUUUGUAGUCUAAUGCCGAUGUAUUCUUUGAUAAUUUGAUUGCAUAUAAGAUUGUAUUGUUCCUUCUCUAUCCGAUAUAUAUGAAUUCAUAUGCAGAACUACUUGGUUUUCUAUCAUGGUCAAAGUCAAAUACGUGAACACAUUGCAUUUUUUUUAUAUCAGUUUGUUAUUCUAGAUUGCAUACCUGCAAAGUUCAAAAAAAAAAAAAAGUAUUUAUGGCUUUAAACUGAUCAGUUCCUUUUCCUUUCUCCAAUUCCAAAAUUUCUCUUAUUAAAAAUCAAGCAAAUUGAAGAUCUGUAGAACGAGGAUGAAAACUAAUCCUUUUCCAUCAACGUUUUGUGUUUUUAGUGGGUAGAGUUAUGCUCUACAAUGAAGAAUGUGAGUGACUUUGAGAGCUUGAAGGAAGACAAUCUCGCCGAAAUUAACUUGAGGUAUAUUUAGAAAAUAAUUUUCUUUUUAAAAUUUUAUUAGGGUCUAAAUAGUCAUUUUAUAUUAGAUAUGUAAGACACUUAACAAUAAAUUUUUAUGUGGGGUGUAUUCAAUAAUAUAUGAGGUGUUAAUACAAAAAUCAUUUUCUUUAACAAAAACAAUAGUUUAGUUCCACUGCAUACAUCAGACUUUGCACAAGCGAGCCGUGGUGGACAUAUAGUAAGUCAGAUUUUAGCAGAAUCAUUAGAGCAAGAUGUUUUAAUAGAUCCCUUUGAAAAUCUAAAAGAAUUUAAACAAAACUUAGAAUUCAGUUUUAAACUCCAGAAAGUUAAAUUUGAUAAAACAGACCUAGAUAAUCUAGUAAGAAUAGCAGAAGAAACUCAAGUCUUAGGAGAAGAUCCCAUGAAGUAUUGGGAUGGAAAUAAGUUUUUAGGAAAGAUAAAUAUUAUUAACCCAGAUUUAAUCAUUAAAACUAAAGAAAUAGCCUAUGAUAACCCAGAUAAAAGAAGAUUUUCAGAAAUAGAUCAAAGAAUUACUAUGGUCAGAAAUAGAGCAGUGCAAGUUAGAGGACAAGCUAGGAUGAUAAUAAAUUAUAAAAGAUUAGAUGAUUAUACAUUCUCAGAUGGUUAUAAGAUCCCCACAAAAGAUCUUUUAAUCCGUAGGAUUCAAGAUAAAAGAGUUUUUAGUAAAUUCGAUUGUAAAAGUGGAUUCUGGCAGAUUAAGUUAGAAGAAAGUAGUAGUCCAUGGACAGCAUUUAGUUGUAGCGAAAGACAUUUCCAGUGGAAUGUCUUACCUUUUGGAUUAAAGAAUGCACCUAGUAUUUUUCAGAGAAAAAUGGACUUAAUUUUUAACCAGAAACCUUAUUCAGAUUUUUGUAUUGUUUAUAUUGAUGAUAUUCUAAUUUUUAGCAGGACAAGGGAUGAACACGAUGAUCAUCUGUCAAGAAUUUUUCAAGCUUUCUUAGAUAAUGGCAUAAUUAUUAGCAAAAAGAAGUAAAAUUCUAGUUUAUAUGCAAAAACAAGCUAAAGAGUAGAAGAUGAGCUUUAUUUCAAGAUGCAAUAGCCAAUAGAUGAGUAGAAGUAAAAUUCGAACAUAUAAAAGGUAGUAAUAACAUUGUUCCAGAUUUACUUUCAAGAUCCUUUGAUAUUUUUUCAGACCAAUGGCAUCAUCAAGCAGCAGUUCUUCAGGAGCUCACUCAGCUCAGAGUUUUCCAGAAAAACAGCCAGUUGGCUUGCCGAGUUUUCCAAAAAUUUCAGAUAAAACCAAGCCAAAAAGAGUAGCUUUUUCGGAAGAUCUUUCACUUCCUUCAGUGGAAAAUCAGUUUUACAAGUAUAGAGUUCCCCAAAACUUCAUUAUAGAUGUUUUCCGGUGGUGUAUAAUGGAUUCAGUCCAUUAUUAUACCAAGUUUUUAGAGAACAGACAUCAAGCCGGACUCCUCCACACUUUGAGGUGUCUUUGCUUUGUUUUACAUCAAAUGAAUUUAAAAAUUAGAAGCAAUCAUUUUCAGAAUGCUGGCUUACGCCCGCAAAGUCUUUCAGAGAAAAUGAAAAUUAUGCUUUUUAUUGUGUUUUCAAAUGAAGAAACCCUGGAAUUUAUGAUUCUUGGGAAAAAGUUUGUGCAGAAAUUUCAGAAUUUCCAAAUAGUGUUUACAAAGGAUUUCACACUAGAGAUGCAGCAAGUAUAGCUUUUGCAGAAUUCAUGGCAGAGAAAAUCUGUAUCCUGAGUGAAAACAGUUUAAGGGAGGAAUUAGAGAAAAUAAAAAGACAACUAAGAGAGUUAAACACUCAGAUGAGCGUAGAGAUCGAGUGUUUAGAUGUAGAAUUAGAUUAUGAAAGAUCAAAGAAAGUUAAUGAGAUUGAAUUUGGAAAUCCAUAUGUUAGAAGAAAUUUUGAAAAGCUUCCAGCAGAAAUCCAAUUCCAGAUUCUCGAAAGAGAGGAAGAAGUUGGUUUCCUUUUCUACAUUCAAGUUUUCCAGAUUCUCGAAUCAAUGGAGAAGAGUUUCAGAAUUUCAGAAUUGGUGAUAAUCCUAGCUAUCCACUCAUUACGCUUGGAUUAUUAUUCGAUUAUGGUCUUACAGAAGAAAUCUAUAAUCCUCCAGUAGAUGAAGAUUCAGAAGUCUUUCCACAAGUUUUCAAAAGAUCUGUUUCCCUCUACCGGCAGCGAGGAAGACAGACUCGGAUUUUAAUUAGCAGUAUUCCACACAAAGUCAGAGAGUUAGAACACGAUAGAAGAGUGUUCGAGCAGACCAAGAGGAUGUUCAGAACAGAAUAUUUAGCAGGAUAUAAUAAGGUAUAUAUUAGGGGUCACUAUGCUCCUAAUACAUUUUCAGCAGUUGGAUUAGCCAGACAGAGGCUUUAAAGUUAAGGAGACGUUCAGAAUUACAAAGCUUAUUCUCUGGAUGAAUUUUUAGAAGAAUCUGACGGUCACAAUAAUGGCUUCUGUAGAAUUAUCAUAGAGACGGGCUACGGCUCACUUCUAACAACAUCGAUACUAUCCUCAACUUGGUAAUUAUCACAUGUACAAUCCGUUAAGUGUGAAAUUUUAUUACAAAAAGCCUCGAUAAUAGUUGAAGUGAGAUUAAGAUAUUUAAAUUCUUAUUUUUUUAUUGAUAUGGUCGAUGGAACAUUUCAAUAGCUUCACCAUGGUUGCAAUGGCCAGACACUACCAAAUUUUUUCAGCUCUCACUUUUCUCAGAAGACUCAUCUCAUCUACAGACCAAUCUUAGCUUGUGAUGAAGAAACAGCAGACGAGAUUGAUGACAUCUGGCAAUGCGUCAAUAAAGCUUGCAGCAUAGGAGAUAGAGACGAUAUUUCUAUCGACUCUAUUAUUGCAGACAAAGCAUGUGAAUAAAGCUUGCUCCAAAAAAAAAAAAAAAAAAAACAUGUGAAUAAAGCUUAUUCCCUUAUCUUUUGGUUUGUCGUGUUGCAGCAUUAUUGGAUUCCUUUUCCACAAUGCGUGUCCUUCGUGGACCACCUUACGUGGCUACCACUAGUUCGUGUUGGUAGGAGAUGCCUUCUUGGUGAAGGUAUUUUGUCACGUUUUGCUUCUAAGAUAUGUGUAGGAUCGACGUAUAACGUUAUCAAUAUUUGUAUAUCUACGAUGCCCUUGCUUCCGAGACAUGAUCGAAAACGCAAAUAAAUGGUUCAGCAACUCAGUAAUUUUUUUUUAUUUCAUUGUUGUAUUUAAUUUUUGUGUUAGACUCUCUAUAUACCCGAAGAUGGAAUCAAGUCGUUCGUAGUUCACGUUUUACCUUGUUUAGUAAAACAAACAAAAACAUCAUUAAUUAAGCCAGCAAACACACGCCAUCAUCAUAUGUUACACUUCCUUCUAAACUACAGCAAAUCACCAAAUAAUCAACAAACAACAUAAAUUCAAAAACUAAAAUCAAAUUAAUCCAUAAUUAAUCAUAAUUUAGCAUGAAAUCUCAUGAAGCACUCAUCUUUUGACUGAAGGCUCCACCAUGCCUUGUGAAAUUUCCAAUCAGCUUCCAGCCGCCAUAAUACGGCACUGUAUACAAUGCACUACGCUUAGUAUUGUAUCAUUAUACCUAUACGAAAACUUCAGUUGAUGGGCACUGUUUACCAACAGUGAUUUCACGAAAAUACCUUUCGUUUUUCUUCCCAUUCCUGCUUUGCUUUUCAAUGUUAAACAGUGGAUUUACAAAUUUCCCCUUACUAUUUGUUGGCUGGGGGUGCCACCACCUCUAAGAAGAUACCUGUUUGUUCCAUUUGGGUCCAGAAUCUCCCCAGUUCUCUUUCUCACAAACCACGAACCAAAAAAUUCUCUCUCUAAAAAGAUCACGAACCCCAGCACAAUCUCUCUCAAAACCUGUUAACCACAACACAAUCCGGUCCCGAUUCGAAGAAAGCUUUAAGCCCAGAAAAAGUUCGGUUUCAUGGUGAGUUCUCCUACCGAUUUGGUGCUUCUUUUUGUUUUUGUUUUUUCUAGAUAGCAUGCAGUCUUUUCUGAGUUAAUGGUUGAGGGCUUUGUUACAAAAAUAAAGUAGUGGUUGUGGGUCAGGUAUGAGGUUUUUUAGGUACUCAAGAUUCCUGAAUUCUAAAUGUGUUGAAUUUGCUUUUGUUUUUCACUAAUUGCAUGCAUCAUAGAAUUAAUACAAAUACAAAAUGGAAAAAUGAUUUUCAUCCAUAAAUAAUAUUCAAAUACUUGAAAAGUUUGUUUUAAAUUGGGUUUGGUUUCAUUGGUUUUUCUGAUUUUGAAACUUUUGUUUUCAGGCUCCAAAGGCUUUUAGGGGCUUGUUUGGUAUCAUAUUAAAAAAAAAUCAUUAUUUCUCAAAACAUUUUUUUAAGAAUCUCUCUUAAAAACAAUUUUCUUUUAAGAUUCAAAAACUUGUUUAGUAUGAGAUUUAAAAUUAUUUUUAAAUCUUAGAUAAGUUUGCUGAAAUUAAGUAUGGUUCCUUUGCAGGGGAGUUUGUUUUGAUUUUUUGUGGAAGAAUUCCAGUUUCCAGCGCUUCGUAUUCUUCAAUUACAGGUAAAUGAAUGUUGCAUGUGAAAUUUUUUUUCACCAAAUAAAGAAAACCCUUUUGUUGGGUUGGGCGAAGCCAUAUUGCUUCUAUUGGCAUAAAACUAUUCCCACACAAUCAAAGUAUGCAGUGGUUUGAUAAUUAAGUACAGAAAAUCUUCGGCUGAUAUCCUUCUUCUCUUUGCGUGAUAAAACCAUGUUUUUUGGAUUAUGAUGCUUAUUCUGAUUCGUAUCUGUAAUCAUUGAUGAUAUAACAUUGUAGGCUUGGAGUAGGUUUUGUAGUCUUUUUCCUGAAAUAUAACUGAGUACUUCAUAAUCGUUGCAGUCCUUGGUUUGUGAUUUUGUUGCUCGAGUACCGAGGUUUAUCUUUUGGUGCUCUCUUAUUGGUUCUCACAUUUGAUUCAUCUCACCAAAUCAUUAAUGUAGAUUUCCUCUUGAAAUUUUAGCUUUGAAAUAGGUAGGUGGCGAUCUUUGCUUGGCUCUAUCAGUUGAUUCACAUAACCUAAUAAUUGAAGUCUUCUUUUCCUUGGGUCGGAAAAAUGGCAAUAAUUCUACUUGAGUUGAUAUUUCUUAAAAAAAAACUAAUGAAAAGGGCAUCAAAUUUUUACAUUUUAAUAAAAAAUCAUCCAUUAAUUUUAUUUAAUGACAAGGACAAAAGAAUUAAAAAAAAACAUAAAAAACCGAACUUGCGCUGGGCGCGUCCCCCAACCCCCCUUCCACACUCCACUUUUUUCCCGAUUGUCUGAUACAUUAAUAGAUUUUUUAUUUAUUUUAUUUUUGCUUAGAAUAAGAAAAAGAGUUCAAACUGAAUUACAUUCCCCAUUUUUAUAUUUCUGGUGUUUUUUUUUCUAAUAAUAGUCAAGAUAAUGAGAAAUUUUUCAAUGUGCUCGGAGCACGGGAUGGUACACCACGUGUAUCUAUACAAGUUGUGAGAUUCUUGUGUAAAAAAUUAAUUACACAAAAAAUAAAAUUUUUCGCUACUUACAUAAUAACACGUGGUGUGCCACUUGUGUUAUGGGCACAAGGUAAAGUUUCUUCAAGAUGACACUCAAGCUCCAAAAAUUGGAUGGAGAGCUGCAUUUAUUUUUGUAGGUAUGUAAAAAAAUGUGAGGAAAUUUUAAUUUAGUAAUUGAAAACAACUUUUUAAAUAUAAUUAUCGAGAACAUAAUCUUCUCAAGGUUUUGAUCUAAUGGAUCACUUCUGGGUUCAUCGUUUUGGGCGCAAUGAGUGCUUUUACAGGACCAAAAAGAGUCUUAAGUUUCAAACCUUAUGAAACUGAACCAAGAAGUAAACACUAUUUAUAAAAGUUGACCAAUAAGUAGACACUAUUUAUGAAACUAAAUCAAUUAGCAUACACUAUAUAUGAAAUUGAACCAAUAAGUAUACACUAUUUAUGAACGAAAACAAGAAUUAGACAAUAUUUCUAAAACUAAACCAAUAGAUGAAAAUUAUUUAUGAAACUGGACUAUACAAUAUUUACGAAACUGGACUAAGAAUUAGACAAUAUUUAUGAAACAAGAUCAAGAACUAGGCAUUAUUUAUGAAAGUGGAUCAAUAACUAGGCACUAUUUAUGAAACUGGACCAAGAAAGAGACACUAUUUAUGAAAUUAUACUAAUUACUAUACAUUAUUUAUAAAACUGGACCCAAUAACUAGGCUUUAUUUAGUCCAAGCAUUUUUCAUGAAAGUUCCCAUUUCUUAAUGAAAUAAACUAAUAGAAUAAUUAAGUCCUUUUGGGACCGCUCUUGCGCGGUUUAGAAUCACUUCUGAAUAAAGCACCUCCCACUUUUAAACCUAGAAUCACCUCCCAAAUAGGCCCUAAGCAAUACAAGAUCCAAAAGCUUUAAAUAAUCAUUUAAGUUAAUCCACCUGCUAAUUAGGAAGAAAAAUAAUCAAUUUGUAAAGUACUCUAAUAACAGUGGUUGUGGAAAAUGGAAACGGCUCCCCUCCGGAUCCAUUAUGUGGGGAUCCUAGAAAGCCUCACAUCUCAGUCAUUCAUCGUGUAUCGUGAUGUCAGAAAUCAUUUGACUUUUAUUAUUUUAAAUUAAACAUAAAUAAUACCUGACGAAAAUUGACUGCACGAUAGACGAUGAACGGCUGAGAUGUGGGGAUCCCAGGAUCCCCACAUAAUGGAUCUGGAGGGGAUUGGAAAAUUAGUAUUUGGUCCUCCCUAGUUACUAAUGCUUAUUGAUUAAGACGUUAUUAGUUUUCAGAUUUUGAUUAAAGUCCCUACCAUUAAUGUAUUGAUGAAUUUAGAUGUCAGUUAUAUAAUUUUUUGAAAUAAAAUUAGUAAUUGUUUUAAGGUUUUAAUAUUCACACCCUUAUUACACUCCUAAUUAAUUUUCAAUUCAAAAUAUUUCCAAAAAAAAAAAAAAAAGAUUUAGUUUGCACCCAUUAAAUUUUUUUGUUUAGAAAUAUUUUCAAUUUUUAAUCUUAAAUGUAACCAUUCAUAUAACUUUUCAAUUUUUUAAUCCUAAAUGUAAACAAUACUUUUUUUUUAGUAUAACAUGUACCCAUUUCUUUUUAUAUAAGAUCCAUUCCAUUUUUUUCUAAUCUAUAUUUUAAACUUAUAUGGGUACAUUCUAUUUCGUUGAUCUAAGAAUGUAUCCCCGUCAAGGAAGAAAAUAUCGGUAAUAUCGGAAAUAUCGGUAGUCCGAAAACAUGGAAAUAUCGAUGGAAAUAUCGGGAUAAUAUCGAUAUCGAUAAAAAUUACAUGGAAACCACGGAAAUUGUAAGAAAAACUUGGAAAUUUUUAUUGAAACUUUGCAGGAUGUUUAUUUAGUCAAUUAUCUAUUAGUUUAUCACAAAAAAUUGGAAGGAAAUGCAUUGCAUGAUGGAUUUAACAUUAUCAAGUUGAUUAUAUAGCGAGCUGACAAACAUUGUGACUAUAGAAAAUAUGUAGAAAUUAAUGAAAGAAGUCUAAACACACCAUAAUCAUUAUAUAUAAUGAAUUAGUACAAUAUUUUACACUUUAUACAUUGCAUGGUAAGAUACAUGAGUGACUUAGUACCACAUAGAGUUCCUAUGAGGUUCAAAAUUUUCACUAUCUUCAUCAUCUCUAUGUGUAGAGUGAGUGUAUUUUGAAGAGUAGUUACCAACUAUGGCAAUGGUUUUCAAGAACCAAAACCCAAAAGUCAAUAGGAAACCGAAUACUUCAGUAUUUUUCGGGAUUACCAAACAAAUGGGAUUUGGAAACCAAUCCCAUAUCGAAAAUUUCGGUAUUUUUCGGGAUGGGAUUCCCGAACUUCAGGAUGGUUUUGGUUUAGGAUUUUUCGGUUUGGGUUUGGGACUUUUUCGGUUUGGUUUGGGAUUUUCCGGAAUUUUUUCCAGCCCUUGACCAAAUAAAAAAUAGAAAAAUUAAAAACCACUUGCCAUUGACUAAGUAAUUAAUUGACACAAUUUAAAAUAUAAUACCACAAAAAAUUUGGAAUAUGUGCAAAUUUGUUUCUUGUAAAAAUAAACCAUAUAUAUAAAUAUUGUAGCUUAUUAUCAUAACAACAUAAGUGGUACAGUGGUUAAGGCCUUAAGAAGUUAAGGGGGAGGGGUUCGAACCCCUUUAUACUCAAAACCGAGUCUUUUCCAAAUUUUAAGGAAUUUUUGGACUAAUAUCGCGACAUUUUAGCGAAUAUCGCGAUAUUAUAAAAAAUAUCGAGAAAUAUCGCGAUAUUAUCGAUAUUUGCGAUAAUAUCGCGAUAUUUUAACGAAAACUCAUUGGAUACUCCUUAAAAUAUCGGUAAGUAAAAAAAACGAAAAUUUCGCCGAUAUUUUCGAUAUUUAAAUCCAUGAUCCCCGUCAAGUUUAAUCAAAUAAAUUUAAUAAUGUUAUUAAGUCUUUUUUUGUGGUUUUGGAAAAUGUACCCAUGUUUUGGUACAAUAAUUUUUUUACUAUUAUUUACGAAUGUGUAUAUACACAAUAUAUUGGAGAGUAUAAUUUAUCCUUUAAUAUUUUUAAUUCCACUAAUUAUGGGUUUUAUUUAAAAUCUCAUAAAUAUAAACAACUAUAACUACAAAUUUCAAUUUUCAAUUUAAGAAUAUAAUAACUUACAUAUAAAUAUAUUAUUUCAUUAAUGUCAAAGACUUAGAUCAAAAGCUGAAAACCAACAAGAUUUCAGUUAAAGAGCAUUGAUAGUUAGGGAUCGCAUCCCAACUCUGCCCUUAAAAAAUUAUUAUUCUAAGCAAUGCGCAUCUAAAACUAUGAUAUCUCAUCUUAUCAAUCUUAGAUUUAAAUAGUGACUAGAGAUUACAAAGAGAGAUGAAAACAAGUUUAAUAACAAUUAAGGAUUUUGUUAUUGCAUGAUUCAGUGAGUUUCUUACUGAAUAACAUCGUAGAGGAGAAAUGAUCACUUGUAGGAAAAUGAUUCAAUGAGUUUGUUACUAGAUAACAUUUGAUUCAUUUUUUAUUUGCUCAAUAAAACGAUUAAAAAGAAAUUAGAGUGUGUAUAAGUAACAAAUUAAUGAGAGUUUGUAAAAUGUAAAAAGAAAUGAGAGUAUGUAAUGGGAUCAUUAACAACAUAAUCAAGAAUAAUCAUUAUGUUUAUCUCAUUGAAUCAGCAUUUUCUAUUUGUCAAAAAAUAGGACAAACAUAAUGAUGUCUAAAUUCAGAAGCUGGAAUACAACUAUGAUUCAUUGAGUUUCUUUUUGUCAGAAAAUGUAAGUUGAUGUCUAACUUCAGAGUUGUACAGCUAUAGAGUAUGCUAUUUAUUUCAUCUUAUACUCCAUAUUUGUGCUUAGAGAUAAGCAAAAUGAUGUAUGAGAAACUUCAUCAAGCAGCCCUUUUGUUUUAAUGGUUUUUCGGUUGAUGUUUUGUUUAAUGGUUGCUCUUUUGCGACUAAAUUGGUGGUUUCAUAUAUUAAGUUCAAUUGUUAGAAAGUAGAAUUUUUCUUCGGUUUGGACGUGAUUUUUUCCAUAUAUUUAAUUACUUACAGAACUUGAUCGUCUCUGUUUCAACUCUGUUUGCGUUAUGAAUAGCAACUCUUUCCAAGUUUAACAUGGAUUUAUUUUUAGAGUGGAAUUAUGUACAGAAAAUCUCUAAAGAUGCUGACAAUGGAGGGACAUUGAUUCAGAACACAGUGGUCAAGUCUUUACAAGCUAAUUCUGCAGGUAAUAGAAACUACACCUUUUCUCUCUGCUUGCAUGCUUUUUAACAUAGAGAGAAAUUGAAAUUGUACUUUAGAAUUAGCGUUCUUUUUUAUGAUCUACUGCCUGGUAAGGGUUCUUGAAAUUGUAUUUUAGAAUUAGUGUUUUUCUUGAUUCAAAACAAAAGGUCUAUAAUUUCCUUCCUACAUUCCAUGUAUUUACAUAGUAUUGCCUAUUGUAAAUAUAUUUACAAAUUUUACAUGUUUUAUACGGUUUUGAAACACUCAACAUAAGGGACCUCUGUUUCAUAUGUAUUUAUUUUUGCUUAAAUGUCAAAAUGGUCCCUGUAUUGUAGCCACAUGGCAAAUUUAGUCCCCAUGUUUUUGUUUUGGUUAAUUUAGUCAUCAUGUUUGUUUCUGUUAGUCAAUUAAGGAUAUUUCAUUCAAUCUCUUUUAAAAAAUUCAUAAGAAAAUUUAUAUGAGAUAUUAUUAUCAUUUCUCUUUACAAAAAAAUGCAAAUUAAUAAGAAAUAACACAUAUAAGAGAUAAAACUUCCAAUCUGAAAAAUGAUUAAGAUUGUGACAUAGAAAAGAGAGGGUAAUGUUAGGGAGGAGGUCGGGAAAUUGGAAGGAGAAUAAAUUUUCUUUUAAUUUCAUUUUUAAAUAUUUUAAAUCAAAUAAAUAAUUUUAUAAAUAAGUUUACAAUAAUUUAUAAAAAAUUUUACAGAAAUUAGAUGGAAAUGUCCUUAAUUGGCUAAUGAAGAUAAACACAAUGACCAAAUUGAUCAAAUUGAAAACACAUGAAUUAAAUUGACCCAAUAACUAAAACACAGAGACCAUUUUAACAUUGAAGCCUUUAUUUUUAGAACACUUCCAGCCCAGCCAAGUCCCCUGGGCGAUGAGCUCUGGAAUCCCCCUACCCAAAAAAAAAGAAAAAGAAAACGCAGCUCCAGCCCAUUCCAAUAACCUCGGCUCCCCUGGAGCCCCCACUUUUCCCCCAGGUCCGAAUUGACUGGCCCAGCCACCGGGUGGUAUGACAUCACUUUGAUGUUAGCCAUGAUUAGAAAAUUAUAAAAAAUACAAAAACUUAUAAAAAGUCAAUUAAAAAUAUAAAAAAGUUAUAAAUUUUUUUCUAUAAAUACCAUAUUUUUUCACUUUACAUCACAUUUCAAUAUUUUCAAAUACUUUUCAACCAAUUUUUUAUUGUCAUUCCAAAUUAAAAAUAAAAUUAUUUCUUAUUAAAAAAUAUUUUAAUACCAAUAACCUGGGCUAUUUGGUGGAGAUGUAAUGAGACAGUUACUGUUCACUAAAGACAGUUACUAACUUACCAUCCACUUUGGCGGAUUGGGUUGCCUAUAGCACAUGGAGACAUUUAGGGGUAGGGUUGCUCUAAAAAGUGGAGUUUUAAGGCAGCCGAUGAGAAAUGACUCCAAACGCAUCUACUUUUGUGUUAAAUAUAAUAAAGUCAGUCUUUGUUUAAUAUCAAUCCAAUAACUCUUGGUUUGAAUUAGUUUAUUUGUAGCGAAAACGAACCAUAGUUUUCGUUACAUUGAUAUUGCUAGCUAAUUUGUGAUUAUCUCCCCCAGCAAAACUCAAUUCCAUUUGCAAAGAAGAGAUCGAUCAUGGCUGUGGAGGUGGUAGGCGGAGCAUUUUUCUCCGCUUUCUUUCAACAAGUAUUUCAAAAGAUGGAUUCUCAGGAGGUCAAGAACUUCAUCAGAGGAAAGAAACUGACUGAUGGGUUGCUGAAGAAGUUGAGGAUCGAGUUGUUAUCUGUCAAUGCUGUUUAUGAUGAUGCCGAGCAAAAGCAAUUAAGUAACCCAGUUGUGAAGCAGUGGCUGCAUGAGCUUAAAGAGGCAGUCUUUCAUGCUGAGGACCUUCUGGACGAGAUCAAGACAGAAGCGUUAAAGCGGAAAAUGGAAGCUGAAUUUGGAAGUAGCAUAAGCAAGGUACAAGACCUCAUCUCUGCUUCUUUCCAUGCUUUUGAUGAGUCUAUAGACAACAAGAUAAAGGAAAUUAUUGAGACGCUAAGCUUCAUUUCACAACAGAAAGAUGCCUUCGGUUUGAAAGAACGUUGUAGUCACAGAAUCUCACAAACAUUGCCUUCAACUUCUUUAGUAGAAGGCUCUGAUGUAUAUGGAAGAGAUCAUGAGAAGGAAACCAUCAUUCAAUUGUUGCUAUCAGAUGAUGUUACUUGUAAUAAGAUUGGCGUCAUUCCCAUCGUGGGCAUGGGUGGGAUCGGAAAGACCACCCUUGCCCAGCUCUUAUACAAUGAUGAUAAAGUGAAGCAGCAUUUUGUGCUCCAGGCAUGGGUUUGUGUUUCUGAUGAAUUUGGCGUUGUUAAGAUCACACAAACAAUUUAUGCAUCAGUCACUUCACAAACCUGUGAUACCACAGACCUAGACCAGCUUCAAGUCAAACUCAAAGAUGCUUUGAAGGGGAAGAAGUUUCUUUUUGUUCUUGAUGAUGUUUGGAAUGAGAAUUACAAUAUUUGGGAUUCCUUAAGGCGCCCCUUCGAGUCUGGAGCUCAUGGAAGUAAGAUCAUUGUCACCGCAAGGAAUGAUGGCGUUGCAACUACGAUGGGUACUUUGCAAACCCACUAUUUAAAGAACUUACUUGAGGAAGACUGUUGGUUUUUAUUUGCAAAACAUGCCUCCAAAGAUGCAAGUGGUGUUGUAGAUCCAAAUCUUGAGGUAAUUGGAAGACAAAUUGUUAGCAAGUGUAAAGGCCUUCCUUUAGCUGCAAAAUCUCUCGGUGGUCUCUUACGCUCUGAAUCAAAAGUGGAGGAGUGGGAAAAUGUGCUAAAAAGUGACAUAUGGGAGUUGUCAUAUGCAAAGAUUGACAUUCUGCCGGCUCUAUGGCUAAGCUACCAGUACUUGUCUCCGGAGCUGAAGCGUUGUUUUGCUUAUUGUUCCAUAUUUCCCAAAGACUAUAAAUUUAACAAAUCUGAAUUAAUUUUGUUGUGGAUGGCCGAAGAUCUUUUACAACCCCAAAAGAAGACUAUGUUGGAAGAUGUUGGAAAGAAAUACUUUGAUGAUCUGAUCUCACGGUCAUUUUUUCAAUACUCAUCUUCAAAUGAUUGUUUCAUCAUGCAUGAUCUGAUGCAUGAUUUGGCGACUUACGUAUCUGGAGAAUUUUGCAUUAGAUUGGAAGACCACAACUUCUCAUUGGACGUUGUGAGCAAGGGGUCGUCAUUUUUUUUCUUAUUUGCAAUAUUCAUCUAAUGUUGAUUAUAAGAGAUUUGGCACUAUUUAUGAAGCUAAGUAUCUGCGCACCUUCAUUCUUGGCGAUCUCUAUUUGCCGACAGUACGACUUGAUCUCCUUUUAAUGCUACAGUGUUUAAGAGUCAGUUUCAAAACUACGUGUGCAUGAUAUCACGGAGUUGCCUGAUUUGAUUAGCAACUUGAAGCAUCUACGGUACCGAUCAUUGUACCAACUUGUGUGACCGGACACGUGUAACACUCCAAUCCCAGAAAUUACACGAACACGGUAUGCAGGUUUGUUUGUAUAAUUUACAAACAUUGUUGUUGUUGUCAAAAUUGUACAUGUCUAGCUGAGUUGCCCACCGAUUUGAGAAGACUUAUCAACUUGCGCCAUCUUGCUUGAUUUCAGAGGUACGAAAAUAAAAAAGAUGCCCCCCCACAUGGGCAAGUGGGCAAGUUGAAAGAUCUCCAAACAUUCGGAGGUGAGUUUGUCUUGCUUGAGCAAAGAUGCUGGGGGAUACAUUGAUGAGUUAAAGGGGUUUCAGCAUUUGAGUGGAAAUCUUCAUAUUUCAGGGCUUCAAAAUAUCAAACAUGCUGAGGAUGCUUUGGAGGCCAAACUGAGGGACAAGAAGCUCAGUGAAAUACAUUUGAAAUGGGAAGGUGACACUGCUGAUUCUCAAAACGAUAGCCGAGUGCUGGGCAACCUGCAGCCCAAUACAAACCUAAAGGUACUGGCUAUAAAGGGAUACGGAGGUAUAAAGUUUCCAGGUUGGUUAGGAGAUGAGUCUUUCUCUAAUCUCAUCACUCUCCGACUUGAGAAUUGUGGAUAUUGUUUCUCCCUGCCAGCAUUGGGGCGGCUAACGUCCCUCAAAAGGCUUGAAAUUGAUGGGUUGAAUGGAGUGGAAUUAGUGGGGUCUGAGUUUUAUGGGCCUGCAUUUAAAUCUCUGGAGUUUCUGAGUUUCCGCAGUAUGCGGGAAUGGCAAGAGUGGUGUUUCCCUGGAGGUGAAGAAGAAGAAGGCGGACAUUUUCCUAAUCUUUGCGAGCUUAGUCUGGAGAACUGUCCCAAACUAACGGGGAAAUUACCGUUAUACUACUUCCCAAGACUUGAGCGGCUAAUUUUGCAGAAAGUUAAUAUCGAAUCCCUUGCUUGUUCGCAAGAAUGCAAUAAAUUCAAUAUUGAACUCCCAUCCCUCCGUGACUUGGGAAUAUCAGAUUGCCCGAAUCUGGUAUGUUUUGUGGGUGGUGGAGUGCUGCUUGCGCCCAACUUGAAGAGGAUAUCUAUGUGCCGUUUUAAAAACUUGUGGUCAGUGCCAGAGGAGAUGCACGCCUCUCUCCCGUCUCUUCAGUCUCUGUCCAUGGAAGAGUGUGAAGAAUUUAAAUCAUUUCCUGAAGAAUCUAAAUUCCCAUCCCUCUAUUAUUUGAAGAUAAAGGAGUGCCCAGAAUUUGUGGGUUUCCCCCAUGGAGGACUGCAAGCGCCCAACUUGAAGAUGAUGAAAAUCUAUGAAUGUAACAAAUUCGGGUCAGUGCCAGAGGAGAUGCACGCCUCUCUCCCGUCUCUUCAGUCUCUGUUCAUAGAAGGGUGUAAAGAAUUUAAAUCAUUUCUGGAAGAAUCUAAAUUCCCAUCGCUUGAUGAUUUGAGGAUAUACAAAUGCCCAGAAUUUGUGGGUUUCCUCUAUGGAGGAGGACUGCAAGCGCCCAACUUGAAGAGGAUGGAAAUCAAAGAAUGCAAUGAAUUCAGGUCACUGCCAGAGGAGAUGCACGCCUCUCUCCCGUCUCUUCAGUCUCUGUCCAUACUAGGGAGUAAAGAAUUUAAAUCAUUUCCGGAAGAAUCUAAAUUCCCAUCCCUCAAUAAUUUGUAUAUAAUGAAUUGCCCAGAAUUCAGGUCACUACCAGAGGAGAUGCACGCCUCUCUCCCAUCUCUUCAGUCUCUGUCCAUAGAAGGGUGUAAAGAAUUUAAAUUCCCAUCCCUUAAUCAUUUGUGUAUAAUGAAUUGCCCAGAAUUCAGGUCACUGCCAGAGGAGAUGCACGCCUGUCUGUCUCCCUUCUCUUCAGUCUCUGUACAUACAAGGGAGUAAAGAAUUUAAAUCAUUUCCGGAAGAAUCUAAAUUCCCAUCUCUCUCGUAUUUGAAUAUAUGGUAUUGUCCAGAAUUGGAAUCAUUUCCGGAAGGGGGAUUGCCGUCCAAAUUGCUUUCACUCAGAAUCGGGAGUUGUAAAAAACUGAUGGCAAACCGUAUGCGGUGGGGUCUACAAACACUCACCUCUCUCGAAAGAUUGGAUGUCAGCUUCUCAGAAUGUGAAGAAGAAGAAAUUGGCGAAUCAUUUCCAGAAGAGGGGCAGCUGCCAACCACUCUCACUUCUCUCGGAAUCUUCCAGCAUCCGAAUCUGAAAACAAUUGACGGCAAGGCGUUAAGACACCUCAUCUCUCUCAAGGAGUUGAACAUUUUUUUUUGUCCUCGACUCCAGAGCUUGCCAGAUGAAGGGCUACCCACUUCUCUUUCUGGUCUAGAAAUCCGCGAGUGUGAUUUGCUAACACAACGGUGCCGGAGAGACACGGGAGAAGAUUGGGCCAAGAUUUCUCACAUCCCCAAGGUAGUGAUUGAUAACCGAAAGAUAUGAUUUGCAAUGGUACGUAAUUCAUCAACGUGUGUUUAUGUGUUUAUUUACGAUAUGGCUGUGUAAAUUUUAAAUCAUAAACAUGUUUCAAAUGUUAAUGUUCACAUAAUAACAAAUUUUACAGGUACUCUUGUCCCAUAUAAACUUGAAAGUAUUUGCGAUAGAAAGAUACGGAGCUACAAAAAUUCCAAAUCGGUUAGGAGAUGACUUGUUCGUUCUCUCAUCUUGUUACUCUUCGACUUGUGGAUUGUGAACAUUGUUUUUCAAUGCCAGCAUUGGCACAGCUACCAUCUCUCAGAAGGCUUGACACUGAUGGGUUAAAUGGAGUGGAAUUGUUCCUCUUUUCUUAUUGUGUCUUACGGUGGUUCUAUUAUACGACAGUUUGUUGUAUCGAACUAGUCUUCGGUGAAAAAGGAGCUUCAACAAGUCUAUGAGCUCUAGUUUUCGAAUUUCCUUUUUCAAGUUUGUUUCCAAAUUAUGUCUAUUGAGAGGUAGAUUUUGGUACUUUGUAGAAUUCGAAUUCAAAUGUUUGGUUUGUAAAAUAUGGAUGAUGAUUUCAUUUCUGUGGAACUGUGAAUCUAUGAUCAUGCUUGAAUGUUGUCAGACCAUUAUCUAUUCUAAAAUUGAGGAGGGAUUUGACUGUAGCUUAGCUACAGUCAAAUGAUUGACCCUCGAUUUUGCUUUAUUUACAUCACUACCAUUAUAUCUCUGGCUGGGUUGGAAGGGUAAUUAUUACAACUUAGAAGGGUAAUUUUGUCCGUGGGUUUGAACCGAAUUUCACUUUUAUUUACAAAAUUGCCACCGCCUUUUCCUUCCCUCUUUCUCUCUCCCGACUCUCUCUCGGUAACCAUCCAUCAAAUCCCCAUCCUUCCCUUUUCUCACUCUGUAAGUCUCAUUUCCUACAACCCUAGAGCACCGUUUCUCUCUCAUUUCUCUCAAAUUUGACUCAGGGAGAGAGAGGGAAGGGGGACAGAAGGGUUGACAGGUUGGAGGGAGAGGAUCGUCGGGAUUAGGGGAGAGGAUUUUCGGCAGGGAGGUAUGGGUUUAGGGAGAGAGAGAGUAAGGGAGAAGUAUGGGGUAGGCGGAUUUCCAGGGAUUUCUUUUCACCCCUUCACUCACCACGAACCCACCUUUCCCUUCUUUUCUUCCGUCCUCAAAUCUUCUGAUUUCCCUCUCACAAAAUACCCACCAAGGAAACCCUACUUUUGGUUUAUUUUGGGAUUUUGUUUGCGCUCUCGAUUUUCAGACGACGGGCCAAUUGGUUGAUAUUUGGAUUUCUUCUCCUUUUGUCGAAACGCACAAAUUUUGUUUCGGUGGGAUUGGUCUCGAAUAGCUGCGUGUGUCUACCUUUCCAAGGUAUGGUGUUCACCGAUGGCAUGUUUUAGUGUGUUUCUGUUUUUUUUUUCUUUGUUUUGUAUUUCUAAUUUAUCGUUUGCUGCUUGACAAUGGUGAUUGUAUGUUUUAGUUUGGAUGUUUUUCUGAUUUUGGUUUGGUCAGUUUUUUUGGGCUGCUUGAGAAAAUGUGAUCCCAUGUUUUGACUGAGUGAAAUAAUUAAUAGAUAAAAAGAGUGGAGAAUUAGUGUCAAGAGUAGUGAUGGAAAAAAUGAGGAAAAAAAUAUAGAUGUGGAAGAAAAAGGGGGGGGGGCUGGAAAUCGAGCAAGGUGAAGAGAAAAAAAAUAGGGGUUAAGUGAGCAGCCAAAAGAGAAAAAAAAUGAGGGGAAAAGGCUUAAUUUGGGGAGUGGGCAAAAGAGAAAAGCAAGGGAAGGGAGACAGAACAGGAACAAGGUGUGGUUUUGUUGUUGGUUUUAUCCAAAUUUUUGAUUUGGCAUUGGUUUGAAGCUUAUGUGUUAUUAGUAUAGUCUAAUUUAGUGUUGGUUUAUCUAGGUUUGUAGCUAAUUUAAUGUUAAUGUUGAUCUAGGCGUUUUAAUUUGUUGUGAACUUAUAUGAGUUUCGUUUUUUAAUUGUUAUUUUACAGUUGCUAGGGAUGACUUUGGCUUUUAUAUUGGUUUGGGUAUUUUUUUUUUUCAUUUGAAGAUUUAGUGUCAUUAUACACCUUUGCACCACUGUUUGUUCUGUUUUUCUCGGUUUCUGUAUAUAGUUUUGGUACAAUUGGACUGUUCUUUUUAACUUAAUUAAAGUUUUUGAGACUUAAUUGAAUGAAAGUUUAGUGUGUGUUUUGGACUAAUGGUUUUGUGUUGUUAUGUGGGUUUGUGAAGAUGGAUGGAUGUGUGGCUCGGUUGCAGGAGCUGCAGUACACAGUUUCGGGCGGUACGAAGGUGAUCUCAGGAGUGAGUCUCAGCCCUGGGAGUUCUAGAGGUUAUCUCAGGGCUAGCCUCCGAUGCAAACAAGAAACUGCAAGGUAAUUGAGAAUCUGAUUUUAAUUUGAUUUGUACAAACCAGGAACAAAAAAUCCCAGCUUUUGCUUGAAUUUGAAGUUUUUGAUUUUGAUAUUGGAACUGAAAUGGGUCUUUUGAUUUAUGCAGGAUUAAAGGCUCAGCCCCUAGAAAAUCUCCUGUUGGCAAGUUUCCAGCAAAGGCAGGAGGUAUCUCCCUCUCUCUCUCUCUCUCCCUAAAAUCAUAGACGUAUGGCCAAAUGUGUUUUUUGACAAGAAAGUUUAUCCUUCACUUUUUUUCAAAGAACAAAAUUGAGUUUAGAUUCAAAAUCUGAACCUUUUGUUUUUGAAAAUACGACAUUCUAAACAACAGAAGCUCAUUACUUUUUGUUUUUUAAUAAAGCCAUUACCAGUUUCUGAAUUGAUUCUACAUUUUACUCUGUUUUUAUGCCUAAUACCGUUUGUUUUCCAUUGGGUAGCUGUAUAAGUUUUCCAUAAGCUUCGAUCAUCUCCCCAAUAAACCCAGAGCCUCCUUCUCUCCCGCUAAGCAAAAGAAAAUCAAGGAGGCCUGCAACUUCGUUUGCAGUCCGCCACUGCAAAUCAGUCUGGAAACUGGAUUCAAAGGUAAAACACACCGAUGUCUUUGAUUUUGGUCUCUACUGCACAGUUUGACAGACAAAUGAUAAACCUAACACAUGCAUGCUUUGAUUUCCUUGGUAGGUCAUAUUUUUCACUUUCUGGAUGUGCAAAGUCUGGAUAGUACACAUCACCGGACCAAACCUUUAUCAGGUAAGGAAUUCCAUCGCGUUUGUUGAAAAUAUUUGCUUCCUUUCCUCUCAUGUAUGUGUAUGUAUGAUUGUAUGUGUGUGAUUUUAGAUUGUAAUGCAUCACAAAUUUGUGGCAUAAAAAUUGACAUUUGUAGACUUACCCUUUGUUUGGUGACUGUGAUAAUUGAGAGAAAGGAAAAUAAAAUUUCGAAGAUUGAUGCUUUUAUGUGAUUUCUUGGCUCUUUUUUUCAUAUGAUUUUCAUUGUAUGUGUGCCAGUGUAUGUCUCUUCUUGAAAAAUACAUGUUGAAAAUGGGAGAAAAUUUUGGACAUGACACGUUUAGAAGUGAGGUUUUUCUGAAUGAAGACACUUUUAUGAUUUGUUUGUAAUUUGUUUUGCAAAUGGGUAGGAAUGUCAUUCUAAAAGGAUAUUGGCAGGAGAGGGUGGAAUGUCAUUCUAAAAUAUGUGUAAUUCAAUUCUCUCAUUUUCUAUAGCAGAAUUGCGGAUUUCUAAAUCGAAAAGGAGAAAUAAACACUACAGCAGUUUAUGCAGAAGGAGCAUGUAAAAGAGAAGCACAGGUAAAGGUUUAUGAGGUCAGUUUGCUGUUUUCUUUUUAGUGUUUUCAAUUUGUUCCUUUUAGUCUGGCUGCAAUUUUUUAAUCUCUGGUUAUGCAUCAAUUUCUCUGCUUCUUUGUAAAUCUUGCAGGUGAGGACAACACACUUAUCGGGGCAAUGUCGGGAUGUUUAGGCUUGGGUGGAGACAUGGACUUAUGGAAGAGGUGAAGUAGCUUAGGUUUCUGUCAUUAGCUUUAUCUGUUCUAUGCAUCUCUGCAAUCUUACAAUGCUCCUUUAUUUAAUUGCAAGAUGUUGGGGACCGGUUACUGGAAUACAAGAUUUGGAACAAAAGUGGUUGACAAUGCAAGAGUCGAAAGCAAGUGUGAAAUUCACAUUGAAAAUGACAGGUGAGAAUGCUAAUCAUAUUCUAAAAAAAUGUUGGGUUUCCUGAUGAGUUCUCUAGCUGAAUUCAAGAGGCUAAAUUAGUGAUUUGGAGUUAAUUUUGUAAAUUUAUUGAAUAAAGUUAUUUGUUAUUUAGCUUAUCUUGCGUUUGGUUUGGUUUUAGGAGAGGGUUACGCAUGAUCCGUAGCUUCAUUCAACCUCGCUGUUUUCGUUAGAAUCACAAUUAAAGGUCAGUUUUUCCAACAUUUUUUUUGCUUUUUGCUGCAUGUUUGUGCAUGUUUGGUCUCUGAGAUUUUGUUUUUAGUCACUGUUGAUUUGUAGUUUAUGUCUUCCUUUAGCUACAUAUUGACACAUGUUUAUUCUCAGCAUUUUUUUGUUAUGGUAAGUGGUUUGGGGAGUUCUGUAUUAUUAUAUAAUCUUUGGGGCUAUUUUAAGUAAAAAUGAAAUGUUGACAUUGAUAUAGCAUACGGCACACUUAAUUCACACUCCUAUAUUCGGUUUUCAUGUUUCCAUUGCAACACUCUGCAUUUCCGAGCCAAUGAAUUUUUUGAUAAAGAUGUACUUAAAGCAAUUACAUGCUCUAUCAAGUAUGUUUUAUAUGUGGUUGUGGUAGUUGCAAGGAAAUGAAAUAUUUGUGCUGAUAAUUGGUAGUUUAAAUAUAUAGAAAUAGAGAAGAAUUAUAAAUGGAGCACCUAGGAUAUUUAACAUUGUUUUCUUUUCCAUGUAUUUUUUCUCAUGUUUAAUAUCUGCUUUUGCUUAUGCAUAUGAUUCAAGUGCUAUUUUUAUUAGUGUUAAUUUUGGGUUGCAUAUCAACAAACUAACCCAGUUAAUUUUGCUUAGUGUUCAUGUAUAACGAGAACUCUCAUUGCAUCAACUUGAACAAACAUUCUUCUACUUAGUUGCUUAGCUGCUGCAACAAGAACGAAACACUUUUUAUGUGUUUUUGUUUAACUGCUAAAACAGGUGAUUGGCCUCCAGGACAUAUAUUUUGCCAUCUUAACUUUAAAGGCAAUACAUAUGUAAAAUGCAUGUUGCUUAGGGAAACAGAGCAUUUUUUGCAACCACAUCUUUUGUAAUCAGCUUAGUUGAAUGUAUAUAAAAGUUAAGCUACUUAUCUUACCUACACCGAUCACUCAUCUAUCAUUUUUGUUCGUUCAUGAUUAUGUUGAAUUUUUUUUCAGGUUAAAUGUGUCUUAUUCAUGUAGUUAAGGAUGGUGCAUUCAAGUCCCGCAGCAACGCGCGGGCAUUUUUCUAGUAGUAUCGAAAACCCUCUGUUGUUUACCAAUCGAUCUCAAGCGGUCUAGAUUCGAUUUGUUUAAUUAGUACUGCAAGAUGAUCUUAUCUACUAAUCAUGUCUUAUCAAAUGAUUACCAUUUCAUCAUGCCCUUAGGGAUGCAUAGAGCUUCAAAAGUUUUCAAGUUGCUGCGCAUGUGUAGGUUUGAAGUCGUGCAAUGAUAUGUACGCGAAACUUAUGAGCAAACAAAAGCAAACAACUCUUAUACAUAAAUGUCGGCUGCCAGAAAAUCUCAGUAGUACCAGAGAAGAUAAGCUUGUAAUAAAUUUCUAAUUCUCAAAACAGAGCAAACAAGAGAAACAAGAUCUACAUAUAAGUACCCCUAGUUGGCCGGCACACAGGAUUUCUUUUACGAGCAUGUUCUUCAUUAUGGUGCUGUGUCCGACAUGCAUAUCCAUACCAGCAAUUUUCCCUGUUUGAUGCCUCUGUGGGUAGAUGAUAUUUGGGAAUCGAAAUCCGAAACCAGUACAAGAGGAAGGAGAUCAGCUUCUCAUAACAGUAAUUGCACGUAGGUGUCCCAGAAGUUAUUGCCUCAGCAUGAUUCAGGGGCAUCCUCGUUCGAUCAAUUUCUCUGUUGUUCAACUUUGCAAGCCAUUCUGCAAUAACAUCCUGUGAUGUUCUCCCCAACUGUACAGUACACUUCUCAGUGAUCACUUGUUCAUGUCGAUUGUUUUCAUGAGUUGAAGUAGGGAUUCCAGAGAUGGUCCAUUCUGAGAUUGGUUUAAAAGUCUCGCGACUGCACACAUGGUGAGAAUCACUUUGUGAAACCCCUUGCGCAUGCCAAUAUAAACUGCAAAAUGCCUUAUCACAUCCUAAACAGUGUUGAGGUACACUUAUUGGUGCACGAAGGCAUCAUUCCUCCGCAUGCUUGACAUUGCAGAUGGAUAGUGGUUUGAUUGCAGCGGAACGCACCAUAUUCAGUACCACAUUGAGGGCAUGGAUUUGAUGGAUUAUGAGCUUCUUCAUCCACCUGGGAGCGAGCCCUUUUUCUGCGAAGAUGUUUUCCAGAGUUUACGACAAUAUUAGAUUGUAUUGUUGCAUAAGAGUCUAAAAUUGCCACUUCAUCAUUGGUGCGUUUUAGUGAAUAGAAGAGAACAAGAUCUCUGAGCAAACUACAAUCUCAUAUGAAAUAAUUUCAACAUCCGGAUAUCUCAAGUCUGAUGGAACGAGCUUGGCCCAGAAUUCUUCACAGGGUUUUGCACCCGAGCUCUCUCCAACUUCUGCCAUCCCUUGAAUAUAUUCACAAAGGACCCAGAAACCAUUAAUUUAGAUCUCAAAGAUAAGUAACCGGCCAUUGUUAUGUUCAUUUAAAAAGAAACAAGUACUUAUAUAUUCAACUAUUUAUGAGCAACAGAGCAAUUUUAAUUUCUAAUUAUCGAACAAAAUCUUUACCGCUAAUUAGAUAAUUCAUCCAAGUACGAAAAGAAAACAGAUUUGCACUCAAACAAGACAGAUUCAUGAAAUAUGCUAUGGUAACGCCCCUAACAUUUCAACACCGAUAAACAUAUCAACUUCAUGUUUCAGACAUCCUACAACUACAUAUAUUAGAUCGUAACAAUUCCAACUAAAUGUAAAAGCUCUUAAAGACCUAGUUUGGGAGUGAGGUGCUUAAAAAAAAAACACCUAUGAAAAAAAGCUGUGAGGGUUUUAGGUGUUUGGUAAACUGAAAAAAAAGGGCUUAUUUUGGAAGCUGCUGUGAGAAUAAGCUGAAAUCAAAGGAAAAAGCUGAAGUUGCUAUUUGCAGCUUUGGAAAACUGGCUUUUUUUCAAAGCACACGGAGCUACAAUGCUCCUUUAAUGAAAAGACCCACUAUCAGACUGAUUUUCUUUCCAAAAGCACUUUUACAAAAAAGUUUACCAAACGCUCUGUUGAUUUAUUUCACAGCCGCUUAUUCUCACAGCACAGCCGCUUAUUCUCACAGCAGUUUUUUUUCAAAGCACAGCAAUACCAAACCACUCAAAGCAUAACGACAUACUAGCAAAAUUCAUGGAAGAUAGUAAGUGCCAAUUAACAAGAGAGUCAAAAAGGCUUGAGGAGAAGGGGUCCCCAGCAGCGGCAUCAUUUCUGGCCGGAAAAGGUUCAUUCUAGUAAUAUAAUUUAUACCACAGAACACAUACAAACAGAUUUAAGGAGACACAAUUGUCAUUCUAAAAGAGACACUUUCUCAAUUCUUGAAUUAAAACCUGGACUCCAAGAUUGCAAAACCACAGAAUGUGGUCCCCUUUACAAAAAUGUAUAUCAUGUUUACUCUAUGUUCAUAGUUUGAACCUUCGUUUAUGCAAUCUCGCUCUUGUUUUUGUUCUCUUGUAUGACCUAAUUUUCACACAAUUCUCACCGGAAAACCAAUAGAAAUAUUUAUGAAAAUUGAUAGGUCUCACUUGGAAAUUGUUUCAAAAACCCUAACAACAAAAAUGAAAAGUUUGCAACUUUGGCCAAUAAACAAUCAAACGUGAAAAGAAUUUGAAACUUAUCUAUUUCUAAACACGUUUAUAACAUCUUAAGAGACGCGCAAUGUUGGUGAUAAAAAAGAUCAUUCACAUGCGGAUAAUAAUGUGAUUAAAUUAAUUGUCAAAUGACUGUUUUUUUUAAACGAUAUUAUCGAUACUAAGGGGGAGAGGUGUGUUUAGCCUCACAAUGGGCUAGCAACAAUGUGAUUCAAUCAGUUGUUUAUUAAAUAUUAUUUUAUCUAUUUUAAACACGUUCAAAAUAUCUUAAGAGGCAUGUAAUGCUGGUUAUAAAAAAAGUAUUUCGCACGAGGAUAAUAAUGUGAUUAAAUUAGUUGUUAAAUGAUUUUUUUUAACAAACGAUAUUAUUUACACUAAUGGAGAGGGGUGGGCUUAGUCUCACAAUGAGCUAGCAAUAAUGUGAUUCAAUCAAUUAUUUAUUAAAUAUUAUUUUCUCUAUUCUUAAUGUAAAUUCUAUAGAGACCGAUUUUAUUAUGUGAAUUCAGCUGGUUUAAUUGGUUUAUGAAGGGUUUCUUCUAGCAUGAUCUAAGAUUAUUCAUUUACUUCAAAUAUUUAACUUUCAUUUUGUCAAUUUACACACAAUAUAUACAUUUAAAAAACGUGUAAGUCGUGUAUAGCACGUCGUGAUUCAAAAAAUAUCCUCUGCACGUGCGUAAGCAUAUGCACGGAGGCUAGUAUAUACUAAAGUGGAAUGAGAAAAACAUUGUUCAUAAGAAACAAUGUUUUGACGUUUUUGCCCUCAUUUUUAGUGUUUCUGUGUUCCUAGUUUUUGUGCUGUUGAAAUCCCCACAUUACCAUAUAGGCAUACGUGUGUACGGAAAAAUGUUUUUCACGCGUGGCAUAAGGAAAUUUUCUCUGCAGCACCGUGUUAUUCCCCUGGGAGUCUGCAGCACCGCUCAACCAAAUUUUCUCUCAUUCCGUACUUCUCCACCUCUUCAAUCGUGCUGCACCGUGAAUCGAAACAAAAAACUGCUCUUCCAAAUCAAUUUCAGUUAACUCAAAUCCCUAAAACCCAAAUUUCUCCAGACCAUUGGAAUCAGUUUGCCUUUGUUGUUGCUAAUCUACAGGUAAAGCUUAAAUUUACAUACAAUUUUUAAUUUUUCUUGAUUGGAAUUUGGAAAGAAUUACAGAAAAUUGGCGAUGUCCACCGAGUCGGAUGCGUGGUGGAGACUCGGAUGCUCGCUUCCCUGACGUCACUACGCAUCGAUAAACGCACAUCAUUUCCGACUACGUCACUUCUUUCUCUCGCCUCCUUUUCAUGGUUAGCUCCUCCUCCGUAUUUACUCAACGCCUAAUUUUGGCCUUUUUUUCUUCCUUCACUGAUUUGUUCUAGAGAUCGCAGAUUGUUGAGUCAGAGAAGAGGUACAUUUCCAUUUGGGGUUUUUUCCCAAUUGAUUGAUGCUGUAUUAAUUUGGAAUUUGCCCAAUUGGGGUUUGAGAUUUUUGGUUUAUAUGGUUGUUUUGAACUUUUGAGAAAACCCUUAUUUGUUUUAUUUUUUAAGAAAAUUAAUGAAAAUGAUUUGAAAUCUUUGAAUUUUAGAAUAAGAACAAAAUAAAGGGUAAAGGGAACAAUAGCAAGAUUGACUUUUUAGUGUAAAAAUGUAAUUUUUCGUUAAAGUGAACAAUAUCGAGUAUUUUUUGUUCUUUAAGAGGGGAAUAAUGAUAUGAUCUGUAAUUAGUGAUUAGCUUAAUCACUUAUUCUUGGGAUUAUUAGGCUUAUUCAUGUUUUAGUGGAGUUUGUUAUAACUGCUAGCUGGCAUGAGGAGUCAUGACUGGUAUAAGAGCACUAGUUCUGAGUAUUGUAAUCAGAUCAGAAUUUACAACAAAGAAAAUAAAUACAAAAAUAUUUGGAGCUCUGCUCCUUCAUCUCUCCUUCCCUCUUCUUCCAUAGCUUUCUUGUGCUACUUGCAGGUUGAUUAAGGGAAUUGAGAAUUGGGUCUUAUCAUAGUGGAUCUUGACGAGCGGGCGGGCGGGCGGGCGAGCGAGCCAAGACUUAGUGGUUUAAGCUGGAGAGGUUUAUUUGGAAGAACCAAAGCCGUUUGAGCCGAUGCUGUAGCAGAUUGAACCGGUUCUACGCAGACCUCGCCAAAUCUCAGCCAUCAGAUUGCUGUCCGGACGAUCGCACACUUUGUCCGCAACUUAGACACGCCCUUGCAGUUAUAGCACCAAGGUGGGCCUGGGAGCAAACGGCUGAGAAGAAUUGAACAGAAAUUGGGCCAAACAGGAGCAAAGCGCUGCGCCAGUUGCUGUGGAAGGGAAUGUUGCUGAUGAUGCUGGACUGGGCCCGCAUAAUUCAAGGGCUGCGCUAGAUGCUCAAGCUGCUCGGCAGAGGGAUGCCAGGUUCCACGACCAACACCGCGUGAAUUAUUGUUAAAAUUUCCAUUUGCAAAGAAAAGAUUGAUCAUGGCGUUGAAGAUUUUUGCUUCUGCAGAUCCUCCUGGGUCUUUGAUUAGUUGUUAUACAUUCUCUUAACUCUGUCACAAAAUUUCCAUUUGCAAAGAAAAGAUUGAUCAUGGCGUUGACGGUGGUAGGUGGGGCCGCUCUCUCGGGUUUCUUCCAGCAAGUAUUUGUGAAGUUGGAUUCUCAGGAGGUCAGGAACUUCAUCAGAGGAAAGAAACUGACUGAUGGGUUGCUCAAGAAGUUGAGGAUCAAGUUGAUGUCUGUCAGUGCUGUUUAUGAUGAUGCCGAGCAAAAGCAAUUACGUAACCCACAUGUGAGGCUGUGGCUGCACGAGCUUAAAGAGGCCGUCCUUGAUGCUGAGGACCUACUGGACGAGAUCAAGACAGAAGCGUUGAGGCGGAAAAUUGAAGCUGAAUUUGGAAGUAGCACAAGCAAGGUACAAGACCUCAUCUCUGCUUCUUUCCAUGCUUUUGAUGAGUCUGUAGACACCAAGAUAGAGGAAAUUCUUGAGAGGCUAAGCUUCAUUGUAGAACAAAGAGAUGCCCUUGAUUUGAAAAGAGGUAGUAGACACAAAAUCUCACAAACAUUGCUUUCAACUUCUUUAGUAGAAGGCUCUGAUGUGUAUGGAAGAGAUCGUGAGAAGGAAACCAUCAUUCAACUAUUGUUAUCAAAUGAUGUCACUUGUAGUAAGAUUGGCAUUAUUCCCAUUGUGGGCAUGGGUGGGAUCGGAAAGACCACCCUUGCUCAGCUCUUAUACAAUGAUGAUAGAGUGCAGCAGCAUUUUGAGCUCCAGGCAUGGGUUUGUGUUUCUGAUGAAUUUGACGUUGUUAAGAUCACACAAACAAUUUAUGCAUCAGUCACUUCACGAACCUGUGAUGACCUAAACCAGCUUCAGGUCAAACUCAAAGAUGCUUUGGCGGGGAAGAAGUUUCUUUUUGUUCUUGAUGACGUUUGGAAUGAGAAUUACAAUAUUUGGGAAUCCUUAAGGCGCCCCUUCGAGUCUGGAGCUCAUGGAAGUAAGAUCAUUGUCACCGCAAGGAAUGGUGGUGUUGCAUCUACGAUGGGUACUCUUCAAACCCACUAUUUAAAGCACUUACUUGAGGAAGACUGUUGGUCUUUAUUUGCAAACCAUGCCUUCAAAGAUGCAAGUGUUAUUGUAGAUCCAAAUCUGGAGGUAAUUGGAAGACAAAUUGUGAGCAAGUGUAAAGGCCUUCCUUUAGCUGCAAAAUCGCUCAGUGGUCUCUUACGCUCUGAAUCAAAUGUGGAGGAAUGGGAAAAUGUGCUCAAAAGUGACAUAUGGGAGUUGUCAGAUGCAAAGAUUGACAUUUUGCCGGCUCUAUGGCUAAGCUACCAGUACUUGUCUCCGGAGCUAAAGCGUUGUUUUGCUUAUUGUUCGACAUUUCCCAAAGAUUAUUUAUUUGACAAGUCUAAAUUAAUUUUGUUGUGGAUGGCCGAAGAUCUUAUACAACCCCAAAAGAAGACUAGGUUGGAAGAUGUUGGAAAGAAAUACUUUGAUGAUCUAAUCUCACGGUCAUUUUUUCAAUACUCGUCUUCAAAUGAUUGUUUCAUCAUGCAUGAUCUGAUGCAUGAUUUGGCGACUUACGUAUCUGGAGAAUUUUGCAUUAGAUUGGAAGACCACAACUUCUCAUUGGACGUUGUGAGCAAGGGUCGUCAUUUUUCUUAUAUGCAAUAUUCAUCUAAUGUUGAUUAUGAGAGAUUUGACACUAUUUAUGAAGCUAAGUAUCUGCGCACCUUCAUUCUUGGCAAUCACUUUCCAUCGCCGAAAGUACGACUUGAUCUCCUUUUAGUGCUACAUUGUUUAAGAGUUCUCAAACUACGUGGGCAUGAUAUCACGGAGUUGCCUGAUUCGAUUAGCAACUUGAAGCAUCUACGGUACCUUGACUUGUGGUUCACUCCAAUCCAGAAAUUACCUGACACCGUAUGCAGUUUGUAUAAUUUACAAACGUUGUUGUUGUCAAAUUGUAUAUAUCUAGCUGAGUUGCCCACCGAUUUGAGAAGACUUAUCAACUUGCGCCAUCUUGAUUUCAGAGGUACAAAAUUAAAAAUGAUGCCCCCCCACAUGGGCAAGUUGAAAGAUCUCCAAACAUUUGAAGGUGAGUUUGUCUUGAGCAAAGAUGCCGGGGGAAACAUUGAUGAGUUAAAGGGGUUUCAGCAUUUGAGUGGAAAUCUUCAUGUGUCAGGGCUUCAAAAUAUCAAACGUGCUGAGGAUGCUUUGGAGGCCAAACUGAGGGACAAGAAGCUUAGUGACAUACGUUUGAAAUGGGAAGGUGACACUAUCGAUUCUGAAAACGAUAGCCGAGUGCUGGGCAACCUGCACCCCAAUACAAACCUAAAAGUACUGGUUAUAGAAGGAUACGGAGGUACAAAGUUUCCAGGUUGGUUAGGAGAUGAGUCUUUCUCUAACCUCGUCACUAUCCGACUUGAGACUUGUGGAUAUUGUUUCUCCUUGCCAGCAUUGGGGCAGUUACCCUCCCUCAAAAGGCUUGAAAUUUAUGGGUUAAAUGGAGUGGAAUCAGUGGGGUCUGAGUUUUAUGGGGGAAUUAAACCUGCAUUUAAAUCUCUAGAGUUUCUGAGUUUCUGCAGUAUGCGGGAAUGGCAAGAGUGGUGUUUCCCUGGAGGUGAAGAAGAAGAAGGCGGACAUUUUCCUAAUCUUUGCGAGCUUAGUCUGGAGAACUGUCCCAAACUAACGGG